UAAAUUUUAAAUCCUAAUUGGGGUUAUCUUUUAAAUAACCCCAAAAUCCUAAAAAACAUGACGUAAAUCUACCCAUUCUAAUUUGACUUUCAAAAUUUAUACUAGAUUGUACAAUUCCACCUCAACCUUUUCCUUUUUCAAUUUGAAUUUUAAAAUUUUCAUUAUAUGGUACAAUUUCACCUCAACCUUGUCCUUUUUCUAAUUUGAAUUUCAAAAUUUAUACUAGAUUGUACAAUUCCACCUCAACCUUAUUCUUUUUCUAUUUUUGAAAUUCAAAAUUUGUACUAGAUUGUACAAUUCCACCUCACUUUAUCCUCCAACAAACCUUACCCUCAAUUUUGAAAUUCCCAAAACACCACUAAAUUCUUUCUCCCACAUUGAUGGAUUCAAAGAAUUGAAUGUCCAUCCUUUCCUAUAAAUAUUACUACUAUCUUGGUAGAAAAAAGUUUCAAAAAGUGGAAAAAACUUUUGAGAAAAUAGUUAAAUUUCUUUUCUUUAGUAAAAAUUUUCAAGCGGUAGUCUAAUUGGGGUUCUCAAAAGAUUUCUUUUUGGUGGUGAUCAAGAUUCCGAAGAAGGCUUGAAUUCUCGUUUUGCUGCCUAAAAAGGUAAACACACCUUUCCCCUUUUAGUUUUAUUAUUGUUUUCUUUCUCAUCUCCUUCUUCUUCGUAGUUCGUAGUUGUAAUUUUGUUUGCUGAGAUUGUUUAUUAUAGAGGACCUUGAAAGGCAUAAGACAUUGUGCUAUCAGCAUUAUGGUUAUUUUCAUGUUCAUUGUAUAAAAAUGAGCUAGCAAUAGUUGAACGUGUUUCUUUGUCUUUAUUCUUUGAUUAUUUUGGAUAAAGUAUUGAUCUUUGCUUAAAAGACAUACUCAUGCCUUAUUUAAAUUCAUUAUGAGCAGAUAUAUUUGUUUUUAGCAUGUAAAGCUGUUUCCUUUAUGUUGAAAAAAAUAGUUAAUAUUGAUUUUUUUUCAUUCUUAACUUUAUUUUUUGAUUAUUAUGGAUAAAGUUUCAAUCUUUGCUUAAAAGACGCACUUAUUCUUUAUUUAUUUAUUUAUCUAUUUGGUCAUUUAUUUAGACUUCGGAGCCAAAGUUGUAAUUUAAUAUAGGUGAAGCAGAUUUUGGGCCUCAAAGGUCCGAAAAUUAGUUUAGGAUAGGCUAUGGGCCAAAAGCCCAAGUAUUUAGAUUAGAAUAGGUGAAGAUAGGCCAAAAGCUCAAAUUAGCUUAGAAUGGGAUUUAUGGAUUUGGGCCUAAUGGCCUAAGUCCUUUAGUAUUCCCUUUUUCCUUAUAUAUGCUAAUUGUUCUUAGUAUUCUUAGACUUAGUUAAAAAUCCCCGCUAAGUCAUCAAAAUUUGUUUUGCACAAAUCUUGAAGAAAAAAUUUUUUCUUCAAUCAUUUUUUUUUCAAAAAUGAAUUUCCCCUUUUAAAGUUAGUCAAAAAAUUUAAUUUCACAUAGUCUGGAUAAUCACAAGUUAGCAGAUACUCCUGGUUCCUUAACAACCUUUGUAAUGCCCCACAUUUUGGACUAGAAUGAAAAUCUGUCAUUCCUAUGGAUGUUUCAAAAGCCUCAAAUCCUAUAUAAAUUUAGUGUGUUAAUCAAUUAUGUAGUGUGGGAAUCUAUUUGAGCAUGAAUUUAGAUGAUAGAGGUCCCCUAACUCAAGUACAAGUUAAAAGCCUUCCUAUCAUUCAAGUUUUAGUGAGUGUCAAAACUUGGGUCAAAUUCAAUCAACCAUAACUCAUUUAUAUAACUAACUGAUUGGUUUACCAUAUAUCAAAUGAAUUAUCUUUGAAUUAGCUUUCCAACGAUACCAAUUUCACCUAAAUUCGAUAUCGGAGCAAAGAGUUAUGCCUAUUUUACUCCAGCAUAUCAGGCUGGAAAUAGUGUGACAACAUUUGUGAUAGCUUAUCACAAUUGUGACGCCCUAUCAUAAAGGUUGUCAGCCUUAGGAAAAAACCAUCCCCUAAGUGAUGAAAUUCGUGGUAGCUUUUCACAUUUGUGAUGCCCUAUCACGAAGGUCGUCAGCUAUGAUUUUCAGCAACUGAGAAAUUAUUUCAUAAGGGUAUUUUGGUCUUUUUCUUCACCUUCCACAACAUAUAACCCUAAAGAGGCAUAUUUUUUCCCAUUUUUCUUCAAUUAAGCAUCUUAAAAACCCUCUCUUACACUCUCAACUACAAUAUUAGGGUUUCCAUCAAACUCAUUUCUCAAAAGUAAGAUUCAAGCAUUUUUCCAAGAUAAUCAAGAAUUAAGUUUUCCAAUCCAAGAAAUCUCCAGCAAAUCGUCAAGGUUUCCUUUCUAAGGUAUGCGUGUGUUCAUUCAUGGACUCCUUUCGUCCAUGAAGCUCAAGAACCCUUUUCUAAAACUAUAUAUUAUGGUUUUCAUUUUAUGAAUGGAUUGUUGAUCAUGUUUAUGUGUUGAAUGAUGCCAAGAUAGAAUCUUUAUGUGUUAUUAUGAAUCUAUGACAUCAUAUGAGUUGAAAAUAUGUAAGUUUGAUUAUUUAUGAUGAGUAAUUGUAUGAUUUACACCUAUUCCUAAGUUGUACAUGUAAGGUAUUUGAUAAAAUACCUAAGAGACUAGAAAUCAUGCAUUAUAGCUAAAUUGUGACUAAGUGAAGGAUUCAUGAUAGGCAUCUAUGAUUCAAUGUCAUCCAUGUUGAUAAUGUGUCUUGUGAACAUUGUUGGAUUACUCAUGAACUAGUCUUAUGGAAUUAUGCUAUACUUACUUGCAAAACCCACUCAUGUACAAGAUGUAGAAUACCGAUGUACUUCAUGAAAUUCCCCUAGUUAUAAUAAUAUGGAUUGCGAUUAUAAUAUGUAAUGAGCAUGAUAUUGAAAGCUAUGCAAGUAUAUACAUGUUGUAUGAAAUUCCCUUCCAUGAAAUAGAUUGUUGAGAACAAUGCUUAGUAUGAAAUUUCUUAUUUAUGAUAUUGUGGAAUAUGGACUCUACUCUUAUGAUCAAGUCAGUCAUGUGUGUCAGUUUCCUUCCAUCGAGUCCUCGGGGUACUUGUACCUAAGAAAUAUAGUUGUGUGCCUAGAUCCAUGUCAUGUUUUCACGAUACUCUCAAUCAAGCCAUGAUCUAUAGAAAUCAGUCAUUCAUGUAUCUCAGAAAAACUCAGUAAUCUCAGAAGUUCAGUAUUCUCAGUAAUCUCAGUGCUCAGUAACCUCAGUAAUAAUAGUAAAUCUCAGUAACUUCAGUACUCUUAAUCAGUCCUCAGAACACAUUAUAUUCCAUCCGUCAUCAAAAUCCAGUAAACUCAGUUUUAGCUCUACUAAAUAAUACCACCAGUAUCAGUUUAGUCAAUCAAUAUCAGUUCAACAAAUCAGUUCGGUUAAGUUAUUUAGUUUAGCCCAGUUAUUCAGUUUAGUGUCUUUCAGAUAAGAGUAGGAUUCAGCACCGAGCGAACCUAGAAAUGGGGGCCCACCCGCUAGAUUAGGACGGAGAUACUUAGAAACAAUCCCUAAGUUCUAGAACUACGUAGCCAGCGUAGGUACGAGAUGUCACCCAUUAGAUAGGACUGACAUACUCAGGGGUCACCCGCUAGCAUACUUAUAUGUAUAGGACUGAUCCCAGGAGUCACCCGCUAGAUUAGGACUAACUCUACAGCAGAUGUCUUUACUGGUGGUACGGUACUGACCCCCUUCCAGUCAGGGUAGAGAUUAGACCCCAGUCAGCUUAGCUUGGGGCAUGUCGGUUAGAUGAACACAUCCCACAGUUUUAGUUACAAAUUCAGGACUGUCAGAUACAGUCAACUCAGUUUAGUAGUGUAGAUUCAAUACUGUUAGAGACAAUCAAUCCUUAUCAUUAUAAAUAGGCUUCAUGAUCACCUAUUAGACAGAACUGAUCUUAACUAUAGUUAAACAGUAUCAGAAUCAUCAAAUUAAAGAUAACCCGCUUCAUAGGACUGAUCUUAAAUUCAGUUACUCCGUAUAAAACAGAACUCAAAUAGUUCCAUCAGAAUUUAGACUGUCAGAUACAGUCGCUCAGUAUCAGUUACAUCGUUUAGGCCAAUCAUCAUAGUUAUAUCAGUUAUCAAAAUUCAUGAUAUCAGUAUUCAGCUUCAGGAUUGUUAGACACAGUUAACCAGACCAGUUUUUCAUAAUUCAAACUGUCAAAAAUAGUCGUUCAUCUAUUCAGUAUCUCAAUAUCAGUACACUCAUGUUGUCAGUAUUCAGACUCAGUAGUCAUUAUCUCCAUGAGUUCAGUUAUAGUUAUGUAUGCAUGUAUGUAUUCUCACGUUCAUAUUAGUCAGCAUUGUCCAUAUAUAUAACCCUUUACAUUUAGCCUACCUCAAUUGUAUACUCAAUAUAUUCAGACGUACUGACGUAUUUGCGCUAUGGUGCUUUCUGUUAUGUUACACCAUAGGUUCAGAGGCACGAGCUCCAGAUCAGCAGUAGCAUUCUAGUGUUCAGAGUUUACAGUGAGUCCUUCUCAUUUGAGGAAGAUAUGAUUAUUGCUACAUUUACUAUUCAGUUGCUACAUGGAGUUAUUUGGAGAUUGUUCCUUCAACUCUUUAUUUAUUUUAGUUAGAGGCUUUCAAACUAGAUGUCAGAUUAGAUAUUCAGAUCUCAUUAUUUUCAGUAUUUAUGACUUGUUUUGGUAUUGUUAUACCUUUUUCUGUCAUUUUAUUAUCAGACG
This 4627-nucleotide long non-coding RNA is filed under the name Capsicum annuum. Its description in RNAcentral is "long non-coding RNA (CANN_LNC002066)". Lineage: Eukaryota; Viridiplantae; Streptophyta; Magnoliopsida; Solanales; Solanaceae. The record is from RNAcentral.